This is a non-coding RNA of Trichonephila inaurata madagascariensis, 73 nucleotides long. The record is from the annotation of a GenBank genome assembly. Lineage: Eukaryota; Metazoa; Arthropoda; Arachnida; Araneae; Nephilidae.
AUUCCUGUAACGCAAAAGAUAGCGCAUUGGUUUUCUAAUCCAACGGUCAUGGAUUCGAAUCCCAUCUGGGAUG